AGCAGCCGCCACGGUAAUACGAAGGGUGCAAGCGUUAAUCGGAAUUACUGGGCGUAAAGCGUGCGUAGGCGGUUUGUUAAGUCUGUUGUGAAAUCCCCGGGCUCAACCUGGGAAUGGCAAUGGAUACUGGCAAGCUUGAGUGUGUCAGAGGAUGGUGGAAUUCCCGGUGUAGCGGUGAAAUGCGUAGAGAUCGGGAGGAACAUCAGUGGCGAAGGCGGCCAUCUGGGACAACACUGACGCUGAGGCACGAAAGCGUGGGGAGCAAACAGGAUUAGAUACCCGAGUAGUCCCUGUCUCUUAUAC
This 303-nucleotide ribosomal RNA is filed under the name uncultured bacterium. RNAcentral describes it as "partial 16S ribosomal RNA". It matches the Rfam family "Bacterial small subunit ribosomal RNA", at positions 507 to 807 of the family's 1533-position model. The record is from RNAcentral.